This 782-nucleotide ribosomal RNA is filed under the name Cichlidogyrus sclerosus. RNAcentral's name for it is "eukaryotic LSU rRNA". It matches the Rfam family "Eukaryotic large subunit ribosomal RNA", at positions 71 to 739 of the family's 3401-position model. Lineage: Eukaryota; Metazoa; Platyhelminthes; Monogenea; Dactylogyridea; Ancyrocephalidae. The record is from RNAcentral.
AGGAUUCUCCUAGUAACGGCGAGUGAACGGAGAUUAGCCCAUCACCGAAGCCUGCGUGUGUUUGCAUGCUAGGCAAUGUGGUGUUUAAGCUUGUACCUGGGAUCGUGUGCCUACCCGAAGUCUAAAUCCGAUUGUGGCUUUGGAUUCAUUCCAUAGCGGGUGAAAGUCCCGUGCGGGUAGGACUAUUGCAAUCUACACGAUCCUCAGAUGUGCAUGCUUUCGAGUCGGAUUGCUUGAGAAUGCAGUCCAAAGUGGGUGGUAAACUCCAUCCAAGGCUAAAUACUGGCACGAGUCCGAUAGUAGACAAGUACCGUGAGGGAAAGUUGAAAAGUACUCUGAAGAGAGAGUAAAUAGUACGUGAAGCCGAUUGCAGGGAAGCUGGUGGAGUCAAGCUUCGUGCUUGAGGGAUUGAUGCUGAGAGCAGGUGUGUCAUUUGUAUGCGAGUUUGGUCAACUUGGAAUAAGUUGGGCGUGUUCUGAAUGCGCUUCAAGUCAUUCUGGGUAGACUGUUUGUGGCCAUGCUCGCUUUACUACUCUCAGUAUUGUAUUCCUCGCUGCACAGGCCACAGUCGAUACGUGCAUGCGGUAUGAAGGUCUAACUGUGCUUCGGCGGGUGCAAGCUCUCCGUGUGCAGGAUGGCAGGUGCUGUCUUCAGGCCUCGUGUCUGUUGGUAGUUGUUGUGGUUUCGACCGGCUGGUCUUCAUACUGUAUUGUGCAUAUUGCCUAUGAAUGGCGCUGCUUCUUCGGAAGUAGUGCUGUGAAGAACUGUGGCUCUGAGGUAGA